CUGUAAUUGUAUGCUUACUACUAGGGGUAAAUGUAAGCCAAUCCAUUUGAAAUAAUAUCAAUGUGUUGUAACACAGAGCUAUCCGACUGAGGGGAUUGUAUUGCAGUUACCCCCUGCGUUCACCCUAUAUGUAAUUACUGGAAAGUCUCAUGCUGUGUGAACGGAAUUCAGAAUACCAGAGCAAACAGUGUAAUACCCUUCUUUUACUUUAGGCUAUGCAGUUAAUUCAUACGAAAAUGAAACAAGAAAGUGGCAGAUAAAAGGUAAUCUUCAUAACAAAACAUUCCGUCCAAAUGUUUAAUUAGUGCGUCUCAUGAAACUGUAAUGAUAAGUACUAGGCACCUUUACACGUUCAGACACACCCAGUACGGCAAAGAUCUGGAAAUGCCCACAGCAUGUGGUGUCAUUCACCGUCUCACACAUUUCCGACACACCCUAUCUUAACCUGGCAUUGGCUUUGACAUUUCGCAAUGCGUACUUAACACGCAGAUAGUGGGUGUCUUUCAGCUGCAUUAAUCACAGCGCGGAAUCCGUCAGAGGACAAUGUUGAAUGAACGACACACACAGCCGUCUUUGUAUCAGCGUCUCUGCCAGUGUGGAUUCGGAGGCUCAGAAUCAACAGAGCUGGAUUCCACCAGGCAGCUGUUGGGCUGAACGUGACACGGUGCAACUCGGCACAGAUCCUCGUGCCUUUCCCUGCCCCCGCCACGCAAUGUCACACAUUUCAGUGGCAGCAUUGGUGAACAGUAUAAGAAAUCUCAUAAAUGUAUGAGCAUCUACCGCCCACCUAAUCCUGAAUGACUCAUUGCACAUAGGUGCUGGAGCAUCUGUAUACAAGCGUUCGCUCAAAUCUGUGUAUAUGGCAGUAUUAAAAAAGCAAUACCAACAAUACGUUAUUUAAUGAAUGGUCGCUGAUUAUGGUCUCAUAUUCUUGUUCAUUUACAUGUACUCAGAUGGAAGGUUUAUUGUGUGGUUUCCUAUAGCAGGACUGCUGUGAUAGCGGUAUUCUACGGAAAAAAAAAAAAAUGUAAAUAGCUCAAGUCACACUUUUGUAAGAUUCCUGUAAUCUGAGCCAACACGUGUGGGCUGCGGUUUUCCUUUGAAACGCCUUACAAUGUAAGCUGCGCCCCCCUGUGGACAUUGUGUUUGAUGUUCUGUACAUUUUCACUAAUAGGUGGCGCUGUUUUUUUCAUGUCAUAUGAUAAAUGUCAUAAAGACUUUAUAAUAACUAGCAAAGCAGUAUAAACAUAAUUGGUAACACUUCACAAUAAGGCAUCAUAAACUAAUGUAUUAACUAACAUGAACAAACAAUGAUCAAUACAUUUAUACACUAUUUAUUCAUCUUUGUUAAUGUUAGGUAAUAAAAAUACAGUUCAUUGUUCAUGUUACAGUGCAUUAUCUAAUGUUAACAAACAACUUGUAAUUUUUAUAAAGCAUUAGUAAAUGCUGAAAUUAACAUUAAGUACAUAAUUGUUUAAAUAAGGAUAUAUACAUUAAAAAAAAAAAAAGUCUGACAACACUUUUGGAUAAAUAAACAGUAGUUUUAUUGAAACAUUGUAAACAAGGUCAACAUUAGUUCAUGUAAAGUAUUCAAAACAUAAUAUACAAUAUGUUUAUCUUUAAAAAUAUAACUUAUAUUUGUGAUACAAACAUCUUCGGGCAGAUUUUUUAAAUGAAAUAUAUUU
Long non-coding RNA from Labeo rohita (rohu), 1685 nucleotides. RefSeq lists it as uncharacterized. The transcript has 3 exons. The record is from RefSeq and is a predicted model, not a curated record. Lineage: Eukaryota; Metazoa; Chordata; Actinopteri; Cypriniformes; Cyprinidae.